Molecule: ribosomal RNA, 900 nt
Filed under: uncultured alveolate
Lineage: Eukaryota
Description: SSU rRNA
Rfam family: Eukaryotic small subunit ribosomal RNA
Source: RNAcentral
UAAGCCAUGCAUGUCUAGGUAUAAAUAACUACACAGUAAAACUGCGAAUGGCUCAUUAAAACAGUUAUAGUUUAUUUGAUAUAAAAAAUGGAUAACUGUAGAAAAACUAGAGCUAAUACAUGCCUCAACCAUACGGUUGUAUUUAUUAGAUAUACCCAGUAGGUGAUUCAUAAUAACUAUGCAAAUCGUAAUUAUGUUACGAUAAAUCAUUCAAGUUUCUGCCCUAUCAGCUUUCGAUGGUAGUGUAUUGGACUACCAUGGCUUUCACGGGUAACGGAGAAUUAGGGUUCGAUUCCGGAGAANGAGCCUGAGAAACGGCUACUACAUCUAAGGAAGGCAGCAGGCGCGUAAAUUACCCAAUCCUGACUCAGGGAGGUAGUGACAAGAUAUAACGACGCAAUUUAAAAUUGUGAUUGUAGUGAGGGUAUUCCAAACCGAACUUCGAGUACGAUUGGAGGGCAAGUCUGGUGCCAGCAGCCGCGGUAAUUCCAGCUCCAAUAGCGUAUAUUAAAGUUGUUGCAGUUAAAAAGCUCGUAGUUGGAUUUCAAAGUUUGCGACGGGUAAAACCGGUUCGCGGCUUACCACUCCUAACGGAGUGUUACUGUGAGAAAAUUAGAGUGUUUCAAGCAGGCUAUUGCAGGAAUACAUUAGCAUGGAAUAACGAAUGGGUCUAGAAUCUUGGUUAAUUCUAGAUUUCGAUUAAUAGGGACNGUUGGGGGCAUUAGUAUUUAAUUGUCAGANGUGAAAUUCUUGGAUUUAUUAAAGACUAACGUAUGCGAAAGCAUUUGCCAAGGAUGUUUUCAUUAAUCAAGAACGAAAGAUUGGGGAUCAAAGACGAUCAGAUACCGUCGUAGNUCCAAUCUAUAAACGAUGCCGACUAGGGAUUGGGCUUUGGGCGUU